AUUAUUUUUUCUAAAAAAAAAUCUGUUCUUAUCAGUUUAAUAUCUGAUACGUCCCCCAUCGGGUGACUACAUUUUAAAUGGAUUUUUCGAACAGGGAGUCGGAAAUGGGGCUUGCUCCGUCCGCUCCACACAUCGACCCGGCAUUGCAGUACCUCCGGGAACGGUGCAACACUU
This 174-nucleotide small nuclear RNA is filed under the name Salmo trutta (river trout). Its description in RNAcentral is "U2 spliceosomal RNA (ENSSTUG00000004164.1)". It matches the Rfam family "U2 spliceosomal RNA". Rfam says of the family: U2 is a small nuclear RNA (snRNA) component of the spliceosome (involved in pre-mRNA splicing). Complementary binding between U2 snRNA (in an area lying towards the 5' end but 3' to hairpin I) and the branchpoint sequence (BPS) of the intron results the bulging out of an unpaired adenosine, on the BPS, which initiates a nucleophilic attack at the intronic 5' splice site, thus starting the first of two transesterification reactions that mediate splicing. Lineage: Eukaryota; Metazoa; Chordata; Actinopteri; Salmoniformes; Salmonidae. The record is from RNAcentral.